CCCCCCUAAAACCCCUAACUUUACAAACAAAAUGAAAAAAAGAAGAGGAAAAUGGAGGCACCAAAGACGAUUUAGCAGAAAACCUCUCCAAUCUACUUACGAGUCAGCAAUUCCUACUACCGUUUGUUUCUCUAGAAAAUAUAUGAGACUUAAUAUUAUUAUUUUGUUUGUUUAUUUGUGUGUGUGUUUCAUCUUGUUGUGUUCAUUACUCAGAUCCCUAUCGCUUUUAUUUCUGUUCCAUUUUUCCUCUUUAUUUUCUAAUUUUGGGUGUUAUUUAUUCCAUAUAGAUUUUUAAUUAUAAUUUUGGUCAUCUUCCAAAAGAGGGAACUCGUUUUUGAAAACCCUAAGCAGAAGGAAGAAAUCGAAGUGAGGUGUGCCAUCGCCUCUGCUCCACCACCAGCCAUGAAGUUCAAUAUCGCCAACCUCAGUAUGGGAUGCCAGAAGAAGCUAGAAAUCGUUGAUGACCAGAAACUAUCAACACAAUACCUCAUAAUCAUAGCAAGGGGCUUGCAAAUGUGGAACCUCUUUUCAACAGCUUGGCCUUGCAGCAAUACAUUCUUUUAUGCU
Molecule: long non-coding RNA, 567 nt
Organism: Gossypium raimondii (Peruvian cotton)
Lineage: Eukaryota; Viridiplantae; Streptophyta; Magnoliopsida; Malvales; Malvaceae
Exons: 3
Source: RefSeq, a predicted model, not a curated record